UACGAAGGGUGCAAGCGUUACUCGGAAUUACUGGGCGUAAAGCGUGCGUAGGCGGUUUGUUAAGUCUGAUGUGAAAGCCCUGGGCUCAACCUGGGAAUGGCGAUGGAUACUGGCGAGCUAGAGUGUGAUAGAGGAUGGCGGAAUUCCCGGUGUAGCGGUGAAAUGCGUAGAGAUCGGGAGGAACAUCUGUGGCGAAGGCGGCCAUCUGGAUCAACACUGACGCUGAGGCACGAAAGCGUGGGGAGCAAACAGG
This 253-nucleotide ribosomal RNA is filed under the name uncultured bacterium. RNAcentral's name for it is "partial 16S ribosomal RNA". It matches the Rfam family "Bacterial small subunit ribosomal RNA", at positions 524 to 776 of the family's 1533-position model. The record is from RNAcentral.